RNAcentral lists this ribosomal RNA (254 nucleotides) under uncultured bacterium. Its description in RNAcentral is "partial 16S ribosomal RNA". It matches the Rfam family "Bacterial small subunit ribosomal RNA", at positions 524 to 776 of the family's 1533-position model. The record is from RNAcentral.
UACGGGGGGAGCAAGCGUUGUUCGGAUUUACUGGGCGUAAAGGGCGCGUAGGCGGUCGUGACAAGUCACUUGUGAAAUCUCCGGGCUUAACUCGGAACGGUCAAGUGAUACUGUCGGACUAGAGUACAGAAGGGGCAACUGGAAUUCUCGGUGUAGCGGUGAAAUGCGUAGAUAUCGGGAAGAACAUCUGUGGCGAAGGCGGGUUGCUGGGCUGACACUGACGCUGAGGCGCGAAAGCUAGGGGAGCGAACGGG